RNAcentral lists this ribosomal RNA (433 nucleotides) under uncultured bacterium. RNAcentral describes it as "partial 16S ribosomal RNA". It matches the Rfam family "Bacterial small subunit ribosomal RNA", at positions 29 to 507 of the family's 1533-position model. The record is from RNAcentral.
AAUGAACGCUGGCGGCAUGCCUAACACAUGCAAGUCGAACGAGACCAUCGGGUCUAGUGGCGCCCGGGUGCGUAACGCGUGGGAACCUGCCCUUAGGUUCGGAAUAACUCCCCGAAAGGGGUGCUAAUACCGGAUAAUGCCUUCGGACCAAAGAUUUAUCGCCUUUGGAUGGGCCCGCGUUGGAUUAGCUGGUUGGUAGGGUAAAAGCCUACCAAGGCGACGAUCCAUAGCUGGUCUGAGAGGAUGGUCAGCCACACUGGGAGUGGGACGCGGCCCGGACUCUUACGCGAUGCGGGAGAGGGUGAUAUUGCACAGCGGGCGGAGGCCUGAUCCAGCAAUGCCGGGUAAGUGAUGAAGGCCUUAGGGUAGUAAAGCUCUUUUACCCGGGAUGAUAAUGACGGUACCGGAAGAAUAAGCUCCGGCUAACUCCGUG